AAUUGUCUUUUUCUUUUCAGACAGUAUUGAGGAUUACAUUCAGACCACAUCAUCUAACGUGGACUCAGCCAACCAGGAGCUUGCCAAGGCCAAUCAGUAUCAGAGGCAGUUGAGGAAAAGAAAGUGUUACCUUCUGUUGGCCGGAGCCUUUAUCCUUGCCAUCCUCAUUCUCAUUAUUGCUGUUUCAGCAAGAAAAUGAGACCCGCCUUUGCGGUAGCUGCUGUCAUUACAGUGUCACUGCACUGCUCCUGCCCAGCCUGAUCCCUGACCCGCUCAGCUGGUAUCCAGUAGAAAACAAGCAUCUCUACUCCAUCCUCUCCAGCUCUGCUGCAAUGUGCAUAUGUCUGAAGGCUUGGAGAUGGAGGCCUUUUACAGCAUAACCCAAAUCUCAUGUAGUCAUGACUUGUGCUUUUUCUGACUUUGAUUAUAUUCCAGUGAGAGCAGACAGUCAUACAAGUUAAAAGGCAGAGACAUCACAGGAGGGAUUUUCUUGAUCAAAUCACAAAAUCAUAGAAGAAAUAGUAGACUAUGCUUGUAUUUUGUGUUUUUACAUAUCGGAACAAAACAUUUUAUUUAAAUCUUACCUUAAUAGAUUUUGCGGUGUUGAUAUUCUUUAAGCUAAAAUGGAACGGUUUUGCCCAACAGCUCCGUGUUACAUACAACCAACUUUAGCUGGAUGAACAUAAAGGUUUCUCUUACAUUUUUCUCAGGAAGUUUUUGCCAUAAGUAGGUUACAUGAGUUUAUUGAUGUUUGCAUACAUUUUCUCUUCUAACCUAAGGUCAUUACUAAUGUAUUUCCUUGUUGGAGUUGACACACAGCUGUAUGCUAGAGAGCAGCAAAAUGCCAAAACUGCAGAUGUUAUAGAGGUGGAGACCCUGAUCAUCCACUACUAAAGUGCAUCUGAUCCACUUUGUAAUCCAAUGGAAGCAGUGAUGGUGGAACUUAUUAUUUGGCUUUGUUUUGUUCAAUUAAGCAUUUCUUCUGUUUUUAUACUCUUGCGAUUGGAUUUAAAUCAUUUUAAAACUGGUAGAUGCUUUUCACUACAUCCUGAUAUGUAAAACCACAGCAAUGAAAGAGCAUGUACUGUUUCUGUUUGUUCUCAGUCAUUUCUAUUGUCUAUGUAAAAUGGUUUGGAUCAGUAUGGCUCAUUGUCAGUACCUAAAUGUAGAAGACAGAGCAUGGAAUGACAAAGAAGAGUUGGACUGUCUCCACCACUGUAUACCAUUUGCUCUAUUUCUUUUAAAUAUUUUGAACAGAAUGAAAGUAGAUUCUCAGAUCUCAUGUGAUUUAUUCACUAUUAUAAUGUAGUGUGCAGUAUCUGUGACGUAUUUGAAUAAAAAUGUAUUCCACAAUAAAGUUCAGCUCUGAGAAGAAUA
This is a long non-coding RNA of Fundulus heteroclitus (mummichog), 1377 nucleotides long. RefSeq lists it as uncharacterized. The record is from RefSeq and is a predicted model, not a curated record. The transcript has 3 exons. NCBI's taxonomy places the organism in Eukaryota, Metazoa, Chordata, Actinopteri, Cyprinodontiformes, Fundulidae.